Molecule: small nucleolar RNA, 80 nt
Organism: Ochotona princeps (American pika)
Lineage: Eukaryota; Metazoa; Chordata; Mammalia; Lagomorpha; Ochotonidae
Gene: SNORD115
Rfam family: Small nucleolar RNA SNORD115
About the family: HBII-52 is a member of the C/D class of snoRNAs, which contain the C (UGAUGA) and D (CUGA) box motifs. HBII-52 is encoded in a tandemly repeated array with another C/D snoRNA, HBII-85, in the Prader-Willi syndrome (PWS) region of chromosome 15.
Source: Ensembl
GGGUCAAUGAUGAGAACUCAUACUGUCUCUAACAGAGAUGAUGGCUUAAAAAGCAGGCUCAAUAGGAUUACAUCAAACCC